CGCGUUAAGUGUGCCGCCUGGGGAGUACGGCCGCAAGGUUAAAACUCAAAAGAAAUUGACGGGGGCCCGCACAAGCAGAGGAGCAUGUGGCUUAAUUCGAUGCAACGCGAAGAACCUUACCCGGGUUUGACAUGUGACUGCACGGCCUGUGAAAGCAGGCCUCCUUCGAGGGUGUCACACAGGUGCUGCAUGGCUGUCGUCAGUUCGUGCCGUGAGGUGUUUGGUUAAGUCCAGCAACGAACGCAACCCCUGUGUCCAGUUGCCAGCGCGUAAUGGCGGGAACUCUGGACAGACUGCCCGUUCACACGGGAGGAAGGUGGGGACGACGUCAAGUCAGUAUGGCCCUUACAUCCGGGGCUGCACACGUGCUACAAUGGCCGGUACAAAGGGAAGCAAAGCCGCGAGGCCCAGCCAAUCCCCAAAACCGGCCCCAGUUCAGAUUGGGGUCUGCAACCCGACCCCAUGAAGUCGGAUUUGCUAGUAACGGCGCAUCAGCUACGGCGCCGUGAAUACGUUCCCGGGCCUUGUACACACCGCCCGUCACAUCAUGAAAGCCGUCUGCACCCGAUACCGGCGCACCAACCCGCAAGGGAGGGAGCCGUCUAAGGUGUGGGUGGUGAUUGGGAU
RNAcentral lists this ribosomal RNA (627 nucleotides) under uncultured organism. RNAcentral's name for it is "bacterial SSU rRNA". It matches the Rfam family "Bacterial small subunit ribosomal RNA", at positions 856 to 1481 of the family's 1533-position model. The record is from RNAcentral.